AAAACCUUAAGUUAAAAAAACUUUUAACCUUCAAAGUUAAAUAUAUAUAUAAUUAAUUAUAUAGGUUUUA
RNAcentral lists this transfer RNA (70 nucleotides) under Metrocoris esakii. RNAcentral describes it as "tRNA-Trp". The record is from RNAcentral. Lineage: Eukaryota; Metazoa; Arthropoda; Insecta; Hemiptera; Gerridae.